UACGGGGGGAGCAAGCGUUGUUCGGAUUUACUGGGCGUAAAGGGCGCGUAGGCGGCGCAACAAGUCACUUGUGAAAUCUCCGGGCUUAACUCGGAAAGGUCAACUGAUACUGUGCGACUAGAGUGCGGAAGGGGCAACUGGAAUUCUUGGUGUAGCGGUGAAAUGCGUAGAUAUCAAGAGGAACACCUGCGGCGAAGGCGGGUUGCUGGGCCGACACUGACGCUGAGGCGCGAAAGCCAGGGGAGCGAACGGG
Molecule: ribosomal RNA, 253 nt
Filed under: uncultured bacterium
Lineage: Bacteria
Description: partial 16S ribosomal RNA
Rfam family: Bacterial small subunit ribosomal RNA
Source: RNAcentral